Long non-coding RNA from Acipenser ruthenus (sterlet), 1025 nucleotides. RefSeq lists it as uncharacterized. The record is from RefSeq and is a predicted model, not a curated record. NCBI's taxonomy places the organism in Eukaryota, Metazoa, Chordata, Actinopteri, Acipenseriformes, Acipenseridae. The transcript is spliced from 5 exons.
UAGUUGUAUCAUAAACAGUAAUACAUAAUAUAUAUAUCUAAGUGUACGCUGCAUAGUUGUGGUUCCCGUGGAAUUUCAGGCAGCGUGUCUGAUCCACGGGUGGGUCGGCGGGGAAUCUGUCUAACUGCGUUGCGCGGCCGCUUCGAUACAAUCAACUUGAAUCAUUUCUAAAGAUGAUAAUGUGCACGCCGAACAGACUGCAGGGCAGAGAGCUGCGUCAUGUGGCGUUGUUUUAACCGCGAUGAAAACGGCGCGUUUAUUGUUCAGUAAACCUACAUAUUAACCCAGCAGCAGAGUUAACAGUAACCGGCUGUUAAUUAUUAACGUAAUAAAUAUAUAAAUUGGGGAAUUAAAUAUGAUAACGUGGCAUCUUACUGAAAACAAACACAAAAACGGUUCCUUAUUUUCCUCUUCUUCUCGUUUUUCGCUUUCACUCUCAGUGGUCACAGUUAGUAAAUAAUACGCGUUUUCGUUUGCAUAGCGACGGGUUUAUCUUUCGGGUCGUGUCGCCGGAGUUCGCCGGAGCUCGCCGGAGUUCGCCGGAGCUCGCCGGAGUUCGCCGGAGUUCGCCGGACCGCCUUCGACUCCUCGGCUUUUCCCGGGCGGGCGCGCCGAAGCUCAACUCGCUCAACUCGGAGCGCAGAGCGAAACUGGAGCGUGUAGCGUGUAGCGUGUGCGAUGGCUGCGUGUGUCGAUGUCAUCGUCGUUGGAGCUGGAAGGCGUGGUUCGAUCUACGCACACUUCGCUGUGGAGUUCCCUGAGCGCAUGAGGGUGGUGGGAGUAGCUGAUCCGAACCCUUUUUCCCCGGGAGAGACUUCGGGAGCAGCACAGCAUCGAGGAGCACAAUGCCUUCGCUGACUGGCGCUCCGUGGCUCAGAGGGACAGGUUUGCGGACGCGGUCCUGAUCUGCACCCCCGACCGGCUCCACAAGGAGCCUGCGGUGGUGUUUGCUCGGAAGGGGUAUCACAUCCUGCUGGAGAAGCCCAUGGCUGUGAGUACUGCCCCCCCUCCUUCCUCUGUCUCCC